RNAcentral lists this ribosomal RNA (484 nucleotides) under uncultured bacterium. RNAcentral's name for it is "partial 16S ribosomal RNA". It matches the Rfam family "Bacterial small subunit ribosomal RNA", at positions 29 to 507 of the family's 1533-position model. The record is from RNAcentral.
AUUGAACGCUGGCGGCAGGCCUAACACAUGCAAGUCGAGCGGAUGAAGGGAGCUUGCUCCUGGAUUCAGCGGCGGACGGGUGAGUAAUGCCUAUGAAUCUGCCUGGUAGUGGGGGAUAACGUCCGGAAACGGGCGCUAAUACCGCAUACGUCCUGAGGGAGAGAGUGGGGGAUCUUCGGACCUCACGCUAUCAGAUGAGCCUAGGUCGGAUUAGCUAGUUGGUGGGGUAAAGGCCUACCAAGGCGACGAUCCGUAACUCGUCUGAGAGGAUGAGCAGUCACAGUGGAAGUGGAACACGGUCCAGACUCCUACGGGAGGCAGGAGUGGGGAAUAUUGGACGGUGGGAGAAAGCAUGUUCCAGCAAUGCGGGGUGGGUGAAGAAGGUAUUGGGAUUGUAAAGCACAUGACGUUGGGAGGAAGGACAGUAAGUUAAGGCCAAGAUGCAAUGACGUUACCAACAGAAUAAGCACCGGCUAACUUCGUG